This 87-nucleotide transfer RNA is filed under the name Dehalococcoidaceae bacterium. RNAcentral describes it as "tRNA-Leu". It matches the Rfam family "tRNA". Rfam says of the family: Transfer RNA (tRNA) molecules are approximately 80 nucleotides in length. Their secondary structure includes four short double-helical elements and three loops (D, anti-codon, and T loops). Lineage: Bacteria; Bacillati; Chloroflexota; Dehalococcoidia; Dehalococcoidales; Dehalococcoidaceae. The record is from RNAcentral.
GCCGAGGUGGCGGAACUGGUAGACGCGGUGCUCUCAAACAGCAUUGAGGUUUUCCUCGUGUGGGUUCGAGUCCCACCCUCGGCACCA